AAAGCCAGCAUGUUUCUGCAUCCCCAGUCCCACGAGGACAGAUUGCUCCAGUUCUCUGGCCAUCCAGUCCAGCUAAAUCAGAAAGCUCUGGAUUCAGUAAGAGACCCUGUCUCAAACAACACAGAGAGCCGUAGAGGAAGACAUCUGACAUAGACCUCUGGUCUCCACAGGAGCACUCACAGGUACCAGCCCACUGUCCAACUUCCCAAGGACAGACCCAAAGCCUAGACAAAGCUAGUUAAGCACAAAGUCCCAUGGGAGCUCAAGUAAGUCCCCUCCAUCAGGCCAAAGCCCCCACCAUGAUGGCAUGAUACAGGCUAUGCUGGAGAACCAGGCUGAGCACAGAGGCUUCCAGAAGACAGCACCCCACUUCUGGAAACCGGCAUUAACCACCUCCAGUGCUGGUGAGACCCACAACAGAUCAUCUGACCUACACAACUUUCUGAAGGCUGAGAAGCCCGAGAUCAAGGCACCAGCAGACUCCAUGUCUGCUGAGGUCUGCUUCGCCAUGCUGGAAGGCAGGCUUCUCACUAUGCCUUCACAAGUUUCUGGAGGGAGGAAGCACUCAGAACUCUCAGAAGGAUGCCGAUCCCAGGCCCGAAGAUGGCAUAGUCAUGAAGAGCUUGCUGCUCUUUCAGAGGACCAGAGUUCAGUUCCCAGCACCCACAACUGCCUGAAACUCCAGCUCCAGAGAACCAGUGGCAUCUACUGACCUCCACGGGGACCCCCAAACAGGGUCCCCCAAACAGGGACCCCCAAGCAGGUGUGUGUGCACACAAAGAAACACCCGUACACAUAAAUAAAUACUGUAAAAGGUGGGUGCUGAUCUCAUUUGGGGGUUCCACCCUACACUCUUCAUAUCUCUCUGUGACCCACCCCCAAAUGUACCUACCU
Peromyscus maniculatus bairdii (prairie deer mouse) is the source of this 894-nucleotide non-coding RNA. The record is from RefSeq and is a predicted model, not a curated record. Lineage: Eukaryota; Metazoa; Chordata; Mammalia; Rodentia; Cricetidae.